This 500-nucleotide ribosomal RNA is filed under the name uncultured bacterium. RNAcentral's name for it is "partial 16S ribosomal RNA". It matches the Rfam family "Bacterial small subunit ribosomal RNA", at positions 30 to 523 of the family's 1533-position model. The record is from RNAcentral.
AUUGAACGCUGGCGGAAUGCUUUACACAUGCAAGUCGAACGGCAGCACGGACUUCGGUCUGGUGGCGAGUGGCGAACGGGUGAGUAACAUAUCGGAACGUAUCCAAUAAUGGGGGAUAACUAAUCGAAAGGUUGGCUAAUACAGCAUACGCCCUACGAGGGAAAGCAGGGGAUCUUCGGACCUUGCGUUAAUGGAGCGGCUGAUAUCUGAUUAGCUAGUUGGUGAGGUAAAGGCUCACCAAGGCGACGAUCAGUAGCUGGUCUGAGAGGACGACCAGCCACACUGGAACUGAGACACGGUCCAGACUCCUACGGGAGGCAGCAGUGGGGAAUUUUGGACAAUGGGCGCAAGCCUGAUCCAGCCAUUCCGCGUGAGUGAAGAAGGCCUUCGGGUUGUAAAGCUCUUUCGCAAGGGAAGAAAACUUACUUUCUAAUAAAGAGUGAGGUUGACGGUACCUUGAUAAGAAGCACCGGCUAACUACGUGCCAGCCGCCGCCGUAA